AACGAACGCUGGCGGCAUGCCUAACACAUGCAAGUCGAACGAGAUCUUCGGGUCUAGUGGCGCACGGGUGCGUAACGCGUGGGAAUCUGCCCUUUGGUUCGGAAUAACAGUUGGAAACGACUGCUAAUACCGGAUGAUGACGAAAGUCCAAAGAUUUAUCGCCAGAGGAUGAGCCCGCGUAGGAUUAGCUAGUUGGUGUGGUAAAGGCGCACCAAGGCGACGAUCCUUAGCUGGUCUGAGAGGAUGAUCAGCCACACUGGGACUGAGACACGGCACAGACUCCUACGGGAGGCAGCAGUGGGGAAUAUUGGACAAUGGGCGAAAGCCUGAUCCAGCAAUGCCGCGUGAGUGAUGAAGGCCUUAGGGUUGUAAAGCUCUUUUACCCGGGAUGAUGAUGACAGUACCGGGAGAAUAAGCUCCGGCUAACUCCGUGCCAGCCGCCGCAGUAA
This 449-nucleotide ribosomal RNA is filed under the name uncultured bacterium. RNAcentral describes it as "partial 16S ribosomal RNA". It matches the Rfam family "Bacterial small subunit ribosomal RNA", at positions 29 to 523 of the family's 1533-position model. The record is from RNAcentral.